RNAcentral lists this ribosomal RNA (274 nucleotides) under uncultured bacterium. RNAcentral describes it as "partial 16S ribosomal RNA". It matches the Rfam family "Bacterial small subunit ribosomal RNA", at positions 524 to 796 of the family's 1533-position model. The record is from RNAcentral.
UACGGAGGGUGCAAGCGUUAAUCGGAAUUACUGGGCGUAAAGCGCGCGUAGGUGGUUUGAUAAGCGAGAUGUGAAAGCCCCGGGCUUAACCCUGGGAACGGCAUUUCGAACUGUCAGGCUAGAGUAUGGUAGAGGGUAGUGGAAGUUUCCUGGUGUAGCGGUGAAAUGCGUAGAUAUAGGAAGGAACACCAGUGGCGAAGGCGGCUACCUGGACCAAUACUGACACUGAGGUGCGAAAGCGUGGGGAGCAAACAGGAUUAGAUACCCGUAGUCC